Molecule: long non-coding RNA, 631 nt
Organism: Musa acuminata AAA Group (dessert banana)
Lineage: Eukaryota; Viridiplantae; Streptophyta; Magnoliopsida; Zingiberales; Musaceae
Exons: 2
Source: RefSeq, a predicted model, not a curated record
AGUAAUACAAACACGAGGCUAGCGAACCAUUUAGCUGCGCUCGUAGCUUGUGGAAGGAAUGCGAUGCGAGCACUAUAACUCCCCCAAGCCCACGGUAUCUACAAAUCUAUAAAGCUCUUCUUUCCGUUGCCACAGCAUACAUACAUAGGUAAGAGAAGAGGGGUAUGGGGUGGGCGGGCAGGGGUUGCCUUAUCGUAGCAGCCAGCAUGAGUGCUGCGGUUGAAGCUCCGAAGAAUCAAGCGGGACUGUACCGAUGGACCAACGUGCUGAGGUCUCGCCAGAACCCGUCGUCUCCGUCGACGAGGUCGUCUUCAACCGUCGUCAAGAGCAAAGGAGUGGAAGGUGGAGAUGAGAGAGCCAAGCAGUCUGAGGAAUCUCUUCGGGCAAUCUCUCAUUUGACUACCAAGGAAUCCACUCUUCACCCACCGUAGAGGGGAUUAACCUGAAAACCAAAAAGGGCAAACAAGAGAACAAUAAGAGUUCAGUGUCAAUUUUCUUCUCCCUUUAAGCCCGAGAUGCUGCCUUGCAAAGAAACUAGUGUUUCCUCUAGAUGCUAAUAUAGAACAAGAACCUCCUCCUCUGCCAACUUGUAACUAUUCCAGCACAAAUAAAGAUUGAAGGUCGUGCUCAA